UGUUGGUCCUCCCGCGACAAUUAACCGUGAACUCCGCCAGGCCCGGAAGGGAGCAACGGUAACGGGGACGUUGGGCGCCGGGAUGUGGCUGGCUUGG
Molecule: signal recognition particle RNA, 97 nt
Filed under: Gammaproteobacteria bacterium
Lineage: Bacteria; Pseudomonadati; Pseudomonadota; Gammaproteobacteria
Description: signal recognition particle sRNA small type
Rfam family: Bacterial small signal recognition particle RNA
About the family: The signal recognition particle (SRP) is a universally conserved ribonucleoprotein involved in the co-translational targeting of proteins to membranes. Archaeal SRP consists of a 7S RNA and homologues of the eukaryotic SRP19 and SRP54 proteins.
Source: RNAcentral